ACAUUCAUUACUUUUAUCAGAGGCUCUCCAACUUAUGACUUUUCUCUAAUGUCUCCCCUUGUUUUGUGUUGAACUUUAAUUACAGGAUAUUCCCAGUUUUCUCCUAAAAAAACAGAAAGAAGUGGUUCCUUAAUAUUCUUUUUAUUUUCUGGAAUAUUUUCUCUGUGGACAUCCUGCCGAGAAACUGACUCAUGGCUUUUAAAUUGAAUUUCACAAUUUACUGAGGCUGAGUUCCUAUAGUAGUUUUCCAUCAUCACAUCUCUAUAAGGGCUCCUUUGAUCAGGUGCCAGAAAAUCCUACUCCUUCUAAGUAAAUUUCACAGCCACAGCUUCAAAGGCCAUUAACUCCAUUUCCUGGAUCAAGAUUCUGAGGCUUUCUUUGGGCAUCAGCCAUACCGUCCAAGAGGGAAGAGGGAAAAAGGUGGAACUGCAGCCACAUGGAGCAAUCUGGAAUCAAAUGGGAGAAGUUUGUGCCAUGCAGGCUGGUGGAACAACUGGGAUUUUACUUUACAAUGGGUUAUGGCUGAGACACUUCUAACACAAGACAGAUUAACAAGAGAGAAGCAUACGUAUUCAUGUAAUAUAAGUUUUAUGUGACAUGGAGGACUUCACGAGGAAAGAAAGACUCCAAGAAACAGUUUCCUAGAGCAAUUAACCAGUAUCUGCUAAAUAUAAUACAUGCUCCUCGAGAAGAAUAGAAAUCUGUGUUCAAUAUCCAUUAAUCCUAUGGGAAUGGUAUCUCGACUUCCUUUUGAAGAGCUGCUUCCUCCCGAAAAGCCUAUAUUGGCUGGAUAAAUAUAGAAAGAAGUCAAUCAAAGCACUGCACACUCAAGAGUGGUAGCCAUAAAGAUAGUAGGACAUUCUGCAUCUUGCCCGUGGAAUAUACUGUAUCAAUAACAGCCUCCAUGCACCCAGAAUCCUUCCUUUAAAACAGAAUCAACAUAUCAGAGCUGAUAGGAAUAAAAGAGAAACUGCAACCUGGUGACACCAUUUGAAUUCUAGUUGAGCAAUGCCCUGAACUUUAGUUAUAUGAAUUACUAAAUUGAGUUGUUGGUCAAGCCCAUUUGUGUUGGGUUUUUGAUUACUUACUAGUGACUAAAAGAAUCUAUGAAACAUAGACAAAAUCUAGUUUGUUUACUUCAUUUCCCCAGAGCCUAACUUGGUAAUAGGUGCUCAAUAAAUAUAUGUGAAAAUGUAUUAAUUUUAAAAACAUCCCAACCAACAAUAUUGUUCUAUCUCCACUCAACAUUUUCUCUGUCCUUCCUCAGCAAGUAUAGAAGAGCCUACAUCAAGAUAUCAAGGCAAUCAAGCCUACAUCUUGACAAUGAAAAAUGCAUUUCCUCUUAUAAGAUCAAGAGCUCUCAGUUUCUGCUUAACUAAGAUACCACUCUGAGCAAUAGAAAAAUUGUUACAUUCCUUCACUUCUACUUUGAAUUUGCCAAUUAUCAAAUGUUACCCUAGUUUUCAACACCAGGAGAAAUGUUCCCCUCCUGCUCAUGCUUUCCACCACCAUAUCCCCAAAUGAAUUUCCAUUCAUUCAGAAAUUGUUGCUCUGCCCUUGAACUUAGAGGUUAUUGAGAUUUUGUUAUUGAGAUUUAUUGAGAAAUGUUUUUGACCUGGAUUUCUCUGGUAGCAAACUGUCAAAUGAACCCAAAAAAGCACUUUUUGUAAGAGAACACUGUGAGUAGGAUUGGAAAUUAACAGAGAAUCAAAAGCCUUAGAAUUUAUUUUUUACUUUGCCAGUGAUUUCCAGCACAACUUGGGAAAGCCAUUAUUUCAUUUGGUUUUGCUUUUUCCCUGCUUCUUUGAAAAACAGAGCUAGAAAUAGCUCAGAAUAGAACAGUCACAUUGUUUUAGAAGUAGAAGGACACUAGUUGAAGAAAGAUUUAAAUAUUAAAAUCUUUAAUUUGUAAAUAUGAAAGUAGAUAAGUUGAACACUGAUGUGUUCAUUAAAUCUCGGGGUAUUAAGAGACACAGACUGAAUUUCCAGGGAACACAUUUAGAUAUAACAAAAGAAAAUUAUACUUUCUAUAGAAAGAGUAAAGUCAUUUUUUAAAAAUCCAUGAAUAAGAGAUCCAUAACUGGAUUAAGAGGAACUACGGUGAUUUGUAGUAUGUUCCACAGAGAGAGAGAAAGCUGGACUUGAUUAAUCUAGGUCUGACCCAUAAAAAUUCUUAUAUUUAUGUUCUUUAUCUGACUAUAAAUUAAAUCCAAAAGUUCUUAGAAGGAUUUUGUUGCUGAGGGCCUGAGAAUGCUCAGGACAAGGAAAAUAGAAAUAGAAAUUAUUUUAUUUCAAUGUACAGGUUCCUAUAAAUACAGUCUCCUAGAAAUGGAGCCCUUAUCCCUGACCAAUUUUCCUGUAUAGUCUGGUUCAUAGUAGAACUAAAGCACAGACCACAGAGUUGGAUGCCCUGAAAUUUAACCCCCAGUCUUCUAAUAACUAGCUGUGUAAUCUUUGAACCCUAGGCUACAGAAUCUUCAUUUUUUAAAAAAAAAAAAAAAAGAAGUUUGGAUCUAACUGUAAUUUAAAACCCCUUAAGCCUAGCAAGAAAACCCCACAAGACAGACAUUAGAAUUUUCUUUAUUCGAAGAAUGUGGAGAAUAGGAGAAUUUUUAGGCAUCUUUAAAUCCAAAGCAGUUUGCGCAUAGUAAAGAACAAUGCACAAAGGAUCACUGUGUGUGGAAUAAAUAGAAGAAUGCACAGACUACCUGGAAAAAUAACUAAGUCUAAAUGCUCUACCAUGCAGUUUCCUACUUAUGUUUCACCCUCUCUCCAAGAAGCUGAGUGCUGCAAAGAUCAGGAACAUGAGGGUUAACUUCACCCCUUUGUGACUAACAGUGCUGCAGGCUAUGACAAGUAAUCUUUCAUUGCUUGACUAGAUAACAAUGGGAAUAAAACAUUCCCUAUUUUUUUAUCAAAUACAAUAUUUGCCAUUUGUUGUUAGGGAACAUGAUGAAGUUAAACUACCAAUCUUACCCUCUAUGUUCCUCUCUCAUUCACAACUUACUCAAACAAAAUUUUGGCUGAUACUUUAGAAUCUCUUAAAAAACACUCAAUGUUGAAAAUGUUUGCUUUAUUCUGUCCAAUAUCCAACUUUCAAAUUAAAAAAAAAAAAGUGAACAGGAAAGAGGCUUUUUCUUGAUUGCAAACUCAUCAGGGAGGUUGUGAAUUUUUUGCAGAUAAAUUGCUUAAGGUACAUUGACUUUGUAAUUUGUGUGUGGCUAAUUGGAUUGCCUGAUUAAAGGACAUAGCCAUUGUUUCAAGGUAGCAAUUGCUAGGCUGGAGUGCCCUGGUGGCUGAAAAGGCCUCUGGUGUGUAAUUCUACACCUCUGAACUGAUGCGAUUAGUGGUGUCUACAGCCAAAAGAAAACCAAGAAACUUCUUACAGUGGCCUGUCCUGGUAAGGAAUGCAGUCUUCCCGCAGUCUCAGGGAUUCUUAUGAAUUCUACAGAGCCUCUAUCUUAAGACUUAUACAUGACUUAAGAUCAGAACUCCAGAUGUAUGGAUGCCAUAUUGUACCAGCAUUGGUCCUCAUUAACAUUGAACUCCAAAUGAGCUACAUACCUAACCACUAGGAGUCACAAUCAUUAUACUCUCGUCUAUCUUUGUCAAGCCACCCUUUAUUAAAAUUAGCAAUGUUAACUAUGUUAAAGCAAUAGAACUAAAAGGUCUGUUUCACAUAAACCUUUACCAUGAAUGUUUUGAUAAUGUGAAAUGUCAUGUGAUCCGAGAUCUGGUUUAACUCUGCACUUAGGUAAGAAGGUAGCUAUAUACCUACAUGAGAGCUCAGUACAUUCAGUUUUGAACUUAUUCCAUUUUUUUUAACCUUAAUUUCUGGGGUCUCCAAAUAAAAGUCAAGGGAAUACAAAAUAUUACCUAAAGCAAAGCUAAAAUUGCAUGUUUUAAAUUUUUAUGUCAGGAAAUGCAAAAUUAAUACUCUCCUUGUGAUAUUGCUCAUUAAUAUCAUACUUAGACUAAGCUAUAGUUUUAAUGACCUAAUUCAAAAGAGUGGAAAAUUUUAUUUUACUUAAUUUAAAUCAUUUAGAUGUAUGAGGUCUUUUAUUUCCACUGGCAUUUUUUUCACAUUAAGUGUAACAGGGAAGAAGCCUAUUUCAAACUCUCUUAUAGAACAUAAACUCUUGAUGGACUGAAACGAAGUUGAGCUUCUGAAUACUUAUGACAUAAUGAACUGGAUGGAUUGGAAGAGAAGGCCAUCUGAAAAUCCACAGAUACAGACACCCAAGGGGCAUAUCCACAUGCUCAGGUCAGAGAAAAUGAACAAAGUGACUCAGAGAUAUAGCUUCUCAGUGUAACUUAACCAUUCAGAACCACAGAGAAAUGGACCACAGCUUGUAAGGGCUUCAGGACUUUACGAGUUGGAGGUAGUGACAAGCCACUGAAAGCAUCAAGCCAACUUCUAAGCGUAAGACAGUCCAUUUGACUCUGCACAGCAGGACUGUGUCUUAUGGAGACUUGCUUUCUAGCCCAGCCACCACCUGUCCUAAGGUUCUCAUCCAUGAUUUAAGAGUAUUGGGGUGGAAAAACUCUAUAGUCCCUACCAUCUCUGAUGUUCUAGUCCAUGUGGAUGUAGCUCCAGGGAAAUUGAGUUUCAAUCAGUUAAAGGAAAGUAUUAAAAACAGUCACUCAUUUAUUAAAUAUCUCCUGUAUUAAGUUACUGAUACAUCCAGCUGCCCACUCAACAAUUCUACUUAUGUAUCAGAGUUAACAUGCCCCAAACAAGUAACAGGACUAUUCACAGCAUUUUUAUUUAUUGUAGUGGAUACAUGGAAUAAAAGCAAGCACUCAAAUAUCUCCCAAAACAAGAUGCACUGUUCUUAAUAUUCCUUAUGUAUACUAUUGUCUUCUGUUUCACUUAAUUCAUCCCCAAUAAAACAAGCAUAAAGAAAUAAAAAUGCACAGAACUUUAAGAUAAUCCAAGAGAAACAUGUCAGUAUCAGCAGUUUCCUAAGAAAAUCCUUUGCUUCUUUAUUCCACUCAAUGCCAAAGUACUAAAUGGAGCCAGGUUCCAAAAGUAAGAGAAGUACUUUCAUUUUUCUGUACAAUUUUACUUUCAG
This is a long non-coding RNA of Heterocephalus glaber (naked mole-rat), 5075 nucleotides long. Lineage: Eukaryota; Metazoa; Chordata; Mammalia; Rodentia; Bathyergidae. The record is from Ensembl.